Molecule: ribosomal RNA, 496 nt
Filed under: uncultured bacterium
Lineage: Bacteria
Description: partial 16S ribosomal RNA
Rfam family: Bacterial small subunit ribosomal RNA
Source: RNAcentral
GAUGAACGCUGGCGGCGUGCCUAAUACAUGCAAGUCGAGCGAACAGACGAGGAGCUUGCUCCUCUGACGUUAGCGGCGGACGGGUGAGUAACACGUGGAUAACCUACCUAUAAGACUGGGAUAACUUCGGGAAACCGGAGCUAAUACCGGAUAAUAUAUUGAACCGCAUGGUUCAAUAGUGAAAGACGGUUUUGCUGUCACUUAUAGAUGGAUCCGCGCCGCAUUAGCUAGUUGGUAAGGUAACGGCUUACCAAGGCGACGAUGCGUAGCCGACCUGAGAGGGUGGUCGCCCCCCCGGGACCUGGGCCGCGGCCCAGCCCCCAACGGGGGGCAGCAGUGGGAAUUUUUCCGCAAGGGGGGAAAGCCUAACGGGGCAACGCCGGGGGGGUAAGGAAGGUUUUCGGUUCGUAAAACUCUUUUAUUAGGGAAAAAAAAAUGUGUAAGAAACUAUGCCAGUCUUGACGGUACCAAAUAAAAAAGCCCCGGCUAACUCCGU